Camelus dromedarius (Arabian camel) is the source of this 1758-nucleotide long non-coding RNA. RefSeq lists it as uncharacterized. Lineage: Eukaryota; Metazoa; Chordata; Mammalia; Artiodactyla; Camelidae. The record is from RefSeq and is a predicted model, not a curated record. The transcript has 3 exons.
AGGAAUUGUGAAAAGUAAAACUGAAAAACAGAGGGAGUGAAUAACAGUAUGAAAUGCUGCACAAAUCUCAAAGACAGAAGGCUCUCUGCUGAAUUUAGCAGCAGGAAUGUCACUGGUGACUCUGGCUCAUUCAGAUGCUGGUAUGUUUGCCUCUUCCUCCCGUUCAGGCUCUGCAGCCCUGGAGAACCGGACUUGGGGGGAAAACCAGUGCACCUGCAGUCAUUCUAACAACUGUGCUUACACCCUUGAGAAUCUGAACACCAUUGGUACUUGAAAAAAACGACUGGCAGACAAACUACGGUUACUCAGACUUAAGUAUUUGACAGAGAUUCUCUCAAGAAAGUAUGCCUGUCACUUCAAGGAAGACUACUGAAAGUAUUUGUUAUCAAUGAAAAAAUGCCAGCUUUCAAAUGAAAAUUAGAAUUUUGAAAAAUUGUAUCUGCCACCAUGAGCUUGCCAGCUUCCUAAUAUUUGAUGACUUUUGCAAUGGGAUGAUGAUAUUAAGGAGUAUGAUUGCUUGAUAUUAUAUAAUGAAAUGUGUCAACAUUAAGGAAGAUCUGUGUAACACAGUGAAGAUUAUUUUCCAAAUGAUCAGUGUUUGAUACUACAAAAUCACUCAAACUAUAAGACAGAUCUAUGGAUUUUAAUGUCACAGUAGGAAAAGUACAUUGAUAGUUUCAUAUUUCAUGUUGCAAUCAUCCUUUAAAAAACUACCACUUGUCACACUUUGAUGUGAUAUCAAAGAACACCCAUGAUUAUCUUAAAAAAUCUAUUAAAAUACACCUCUUUUUCCAACUAUAUAUGACAGGUGGGAUUUUCUUCAUUUUCUUAAUCCAAAACUAAUCAAUGCAACAGAGUAAAUGCAGAAGCAGAUGUAAGAAUCCAGCUAUCUUCCAUUAAGUCACAGAUUUGUUUUACAAAAGUGCAAAACAAUGCUACUCCAAGGGUGAUUCUUAUUUAAGAAAACAAAACAAAACCCAGAAAACAAGUGUUGAUGAAGAUGUAGAAAAACCAGGACUCUUGUGCUUUGUCAAUGGAGUGUAAAAUGGUACAGCUGCUGUGGAAAACAGUAUGGUGGUUCCUCAAAAAUUAAACAAAGAAUUACCAUAUGAUCCAGUAAUCCCUUUUCUAUGUAUAUACCACAGAGAAUUGAAAGCAGAGACUUAAACAGAUAUGUGCACAUCAAUGAUCAUAGCAGUAUUAUUCAAAACAGCCAAAAGAUGGAAACAAUCCAAUGUCCAUGGAUGGAUGAGUGGACAAAUGAAAUGUGGUAUGUCCAUACAAUGAAAUACUACUGAAUCUUAAAAAGGAAGGAAAUUCUGACACAUGCUACAACAUGGAUGAACCUUAAAGACAUUAUGCUAAGUGAAAUAAAACAGUCACAGAACAGAUACUGUAAUACUCCACUACCAUGAAGUACUUAAAAUAGUCAAAUUCAUAGAGACAGAAAGGAUAGUGGUUACCAAGGAUUGAGAGAGCGGAUAAUGAGGAGUUAUUGUUUAAUGAGUUUGGGAUGAUAAAAAAAGUUCCAGAGACAGAUAGUGGUAAUGAUUACAUAACAAUGUGAAUGCACUUCAUGCCACUGAACUGUGCACUUAAAAAAGAUUAAAAUGGUAAAUUUUGUGUAUAUUUUACAAUUAAAAAAAACUGAAAAAAAAAUCUAAGGAAAAAAAAAAACCCCAUGUCACUCUUCUCAGACAUUUUUGGAAACAUUUUGGGAAAUAGUUAUUUUCCAUUAAAAAUGUUAUUUAUGCAUGU